AAAAUAUGUAAGAUAAAUGAUUGGCAAUUUUGACUCUGAAAGUUUGGAACUUUCAUUCAUCACAAAAAAAGGAAAGUGAAAAGACAAAGUAAUACUUUUCAUAACAAAAAAAGGGUUAGAAUCAAGAGUAUAUAAAGAAAUCCUGUGAAGUAAUAAAGUCCAAACAACCAGUUUAAAAAGGGCACUAUAUACAGUAUACAUAAAUGGGCAAUAUAUACAUAUAUAUACAUAUACACACACACACACACACACACACACAUGCAGCAGUUAACCACUUAUCCAUCGGAGAUAUAUUCCAAGACCCCCAGUGGAUUCCUGAAACCACGGAUAGCACUGAACUCUCUGUAAACUAUGUUGUUUCCUUGCUGAUGUAUCUGUGAUAAAGUUUGAUCUAUAAAUUAGGCACAAUAAGAGACUAACAACAAUAACUAAUACUAAAAUAGAACCACAUAACAAUAUACUAUAAUAAAAGUUAAGAGAACACAGACUCGCUGCCUCUCAACAUCUCUUACUGUACUGUACUCACCCUUCUUUUUUUUAUUUUUGAUUUUUUAUUGAAGUAGAUUUGAUUUACAGUGUUGUGUUAGUUUCGGCUGUACAGCAAGGUGAUUCAGCUAUACAUAUACAUAUUCUUUUUCAGAUUUUUUCAUGAUAGGUUAUUACUAGACAUUGAAUGUGGUUCCCUGUGCUAUCAGUAGGUCCUUGUUGUUUAUCUAUUUUAUAUACAGUAGUUUGUAUUUGCUAAUCCCAAACUCCUGAUUUAUCCCUCCCCCCCUUUCCCCUUUGGUAACUGUAAAUUUGUUUUCCACGUCUGUGUGUACUCACCCUUCUUCUUGUGAUGAUGAGAUGGUAAAAAGCCUACGCGCUGAGAUGAGGUGACGGCGUGGGCACUGGGACAGCAUUACAGUACCACGACCUUCUGAUGAGACCACAGACGGCGGAUCAUCUACUGGGUGAUCAUGGAUCGUGAAGCCAAGAAAGUGGCCAGGGUUGGGGAUCCCAUGUAGAACAGAGCAGGACAGUGAGAUUUCAUCACGCUGCUCAGAAUAGCAGGCAAUUUAAAAGGGCCCUACAGGCUCCCUACAUCAACCCCAAGAAGGGUGGGCCAGGACAACCUCGUGACUACACAGACCCUGAGACUGACUUCAGUCACCACACUUUUCUGUUUACUUGUCGGGAGCUGGGUCUUUACUGUCUGCUUCAGAGGUAGGAGGGAGAGGACAGAAAGGCACUGCUGCAUACACAUAUUUCUAAAGAGCCUUCCCAUUCUCCUUAUUGCAAAGUGAAAAAUAUGGGUGGAAAUGGGCUGCCCAGCUGGCACCUUUUCCCCUGUUAGAAAAGUCUGCCCUCUCUCCAGGGAGACCCAGGUGCUCAUCAGGGCUCAUAAAUCGUGCAAUGAGCACAGGCAGGCUCAGUUCCCUGGAGCCAUCCUUUGGGUGCCUGGUGCAGUGUGCAGCCUGUGCAACUGUACAUGGCAACCCAUGAGAGAGAGGAGACCAGCCUCGGGUGCAGUGGGCUGAAGGCAGCUUUUACUCAAGGCUGGCUUUGCCAAACCUCCUGGUGCCAUGCUCAGAGGAGAGGAGGGACAAGGAGAAAGACAAGCCAGCCUACUCCCAGCAGCAGAUCUGUCCAAGAGAAAUGUGCCUUUUCCUAAUGCCACCAACUGUGCCAGAAGUGUUUCUCCACUGGUCUGUCUCUCUGUUGCUCUCUUCUCUCUCCCUCUCAUUAUCUCUCUCUGUCUCCGUGUCUCUCUCUGAUAGAUUCUAUUUAGGUUUGUUACAACAAAUAAAUGCUAUGCUCACAUAGAUGGCAUUUCGAAACUGAGGAGGACUUCAGAGAAACGCUUCUUUCAGAUGGUGGGCCUGAACCACGCCUGGGAUUGGCCAGGGACACCGUUGCCAGGGCAACGCGGCUCCAGCUUCCUGCCUGACUCCUGCAUUAGGCACCACCUUCACUGCCCUCGGCGACACUGCUGGUUAUUAAAGCACCUUGAUUAACUCAGCUUUGGUGUAGGGGCCGUCACCGUUGCUCCAGGGAUGAGCGCCCUCCACCCUCUUGCUGAGGGAAGCCCGCAUGCAGACAACCACCACAGUAUGCUUGUCCUCGCUGCGUUCCUGACAACAUGACGAACCACAGGUUCACAGGUUGCUCCCUCCCAUGUUACCUUUACUGCAGACGUCACGACACAUCACUUCUGCCGACCGCUACUUCAGAAUCACCCCAGGACAGCUGUUGUGCAGAGACCAACCCGCAUCAGAUAAAAAGCACAGGAGCCCCAUCUAAUCCAGCAUCUCUCCUUGGGCAGCAACUUAAUAGCCACCUGACUCAACAAGUCCAUCAUUACGAGCAAGACUGCUACUCAGCACGGACACCACCCUCGGUCGUUAGUUCUAAGAGCUGCGUGAUGACCGGGGAGUCCGCGGCCCCGCGGGACUUGGUCUGAGCUACCACUUCAUCCUGAUGACGGAAAAGCAGGAACGUGGAGGCUCGGUGACUGGCCCCCGGCCCAGCAGGAUAAUCAAUGGCAAGAUCUGAAUUCAACUGCAAAUCCCUUCUCCCAAGCGAGGGCUGUGGCAACCCCUGCUUUGCCUUUGCAACCAACACUAUAGAUACAUAAUUUCCAUACAAUACAAUGCAUCUAGUUUUUCAUUUUACUUUUUAUUGAUGGCUUACAAUGUUGUGUUAAUUUCUGGUGUACAGCAUAGGGGUUCAGUUAUACAGAUAUAUAUUCUUUUUCAUAUUCGUUUUUGUUAUAGGCUAUUAUAAUUUAUUUAAUAUAGUUCCCCAUGCCAAACAGUAGGACCUUGCUGUUUAUCUGUUUUAUAUAUAGUAGUUAGUCAAAUACAUCUAUCUUGUUUGUACUGUUCAAUGAGGUUUGACAGAUGUAAACAGUCAUGUAAUCAACACAACAAUAAAUAUAUGGACCGGCCCCAACACCCCUCAAAAUUUUUCUCAUAUGCUUUUGCAGCCAAUCCCACUCCCAGCCCCUGGCAACAGCUGAAUGGAUC
Molecule: long non-coding RNA, 3008 nt
Organism: Camelus dromedarius (Arabian camel)
Lineage: Eukaryota; Metazoa; Chordata; Mammalia; Artiodactyla; Camelidae
Exons: 4
Source: RefSeq, a predicted model, not a curated record